ACUGGCCCUAGCCCAAAACACCUAAACAUAAAAGAUCAACCUAACCCCUAAAUCAAAACAUUCAAUUACUCUUAAAAGUAUAGGAGAUAGAAAUUAUCCACAGGCGCUAUAGAGACAGUACCGCAAGGGAAAGAUGAAAGAACAAACCCUAGUACCAAAUAGCAAAGCUUCCCCCUUGUACCUUUUGCAUAAUGAGCUAACCAGAACAACUUUGACAAAGAGAACUUUAGCCAAAAACCCCGAAACCAGACGAGCUACUCACGGGCAGUCAAAAGGACAAACCCAUCUAUGUAGCAAAAUAGUGGGAAGACCUAUGAGUAGAAGUGAAACGCCAACCGAGCCUGGUGAUAGCUGGUUGUCCAAUAUAGAAUCCUAGUUCAACUUUAAAUUUACCCAAAGAACACACCACUCUUAACGUAAAUUUAAAUGCUAGUCCAAAGGGGUACAGCUCUUUGGACACAGGACUCAACCUCUAAUAGAGAGUAAGCCACAAGCCACCCAUUGUUGGCUUAAAAGCAGCCACCAAUUAAGAUAGCGUUCAAGCUCAAUAAACCUACACAAACCUAAUCCCUACCAUUCAAAUCGAACUCCUAACAUCUAACUGGACCAAUCUAUAUUUAUAUAGAAGCAAUACUGUUAGUAUGAGUAACAAGAACCUCAUUCUCCCCGCACAAGCUUAUAUCAGACCGAAUACCCACUGAUAGUUAACAGUACAGUAUAAAUUACCCAACUAGAACCUACUUACAUCUCCAACUGUUAACCCAACACAGGCGUGCAUAAAGGAAAGAUUAAAAGAGACAGAAGGAACUCGGCAACCACAAACCCCGCCUGUUUACCAAAAACAUCACCUCUAGCAUAAAAAGUAUUAGAGGCACUGCCUGCCCAGUGACACAAUUCAACGGCCGCGGUAUCCUGACCGUGCAAAGGUAGCAUAAUCAUUUGUUCCUUAAUUAGGGACUUGCAUGAAAGGCCACACGAGGGUUUUACUGUCUCCUGUCUCCGAUCAGUGAAAUUGACCCCCCCGUGAAGAGGCGGGGAUGUAAUAAUAAGACGAGAAGACCCUAUGGAGCUUCAAUCAACUAGCCCAAAUAAAGCAAUAUAAACCUAACCCAGGCAACAAUAACAAAACCCUAUGAGCUAGCGAUUUCGGUUGGGGCGACCUCGGAGCAAAAAAAAACCUCCGAAUGACCAUGACCUAGACUAACCAGUCAAAGUAAUAUAUUCACCAAUUGAUCCAAAAUAAUUUGACCAACGGAACAAGUUACCCUAGGGAUAACAGCGCAAUUCUAUUAUAGAGUCCCUAUCGACAAUAGAGUUUACGACCUCGAUGUUGGAUCAGGACAUCCCAAUGGUGCAACAGCUAUUAAAGGUUCGUUUGUUCAACGAUUAAAGUCCUACGUGAUCUGAGUUCAGACCGGAGCAAUCCAGGUCGGUUUCUAUCUAUUAACGUAUUUCUCCCAGUACGAAAGGACAAGAGAAAUGAGGCCCACCUUCCAAAGGACACCUCCAACCUCAAUGAAUGAUAUAAUCUCAACUCAAACCAGAUUCUCCUCCCCAGCCCAAGAGCAGGGCUU
Non-coding RNA from Galeopterus variegatus (Sunda flying lemur), 1574 nucleotides. NCBI's taxonomy places the organism in Eukaryota, Metazoa, Chordata, Mammalia, Dermoptera, Cynocephalidae. The record is from the annotation of a RefSeq genome assembly.